AUUGAACGCUGGCGGCAGGCCUAACACAUGCAAGUCGAGCGGCUCGGCGGCCGGGUGAGUAAUGCUUAGGAAUCUGGCUGUUCGUGGUGGAUAACGUCCGCAACCGGGCGCUAAUACUGCAUACUUUCAGAUUAGCCUAGGUCGGAUUAGCUAGUUGGUGGGGUAAAGGCCGACCAAGGCGACGAUCCCUAACUGGUCUGAGAGGAUGAUCAGUCACACUGGAACUGAGACACGGUCCAGACUCCUACGGGAGGCAGCAGUGGGGAAUAUUGGACAAUGGGCGAAAGCCUGAUGCAGCCAUGCCGCGUGUAUGAAGAAGGUCUUCGGGUUGUAAAGUACUUUCAGUCGGGAGGCGUUACCGACAGAAGAAGCACCGGCUAACUCCGUGCCAGCAGCCGCGGUAAUAC
RNAcentral lists this ribosomal RNA (407 nucleotides) under uncultured bacterium. RNAcentral's name for it is "partial 16S ribosomal RNA". It matches the Rfam family "Bacterial small subunit ribosomal RNA", at positions 30 to 526 of the family's 1533-position model. The record is from RNAcentral.